CCCCUCGUCGUUCAAUGGAUAGGACGCAAGCUUGCGGAGCUUGUAAUGCGGGUUCGAUUCCUGCCGGGGGGACCA
This 75-nucleotide transfer RNA is filed under the name Candidatus Kaiserbacteria bacterium RIFCSPHIGHO2_02_FULL_56_30. Its description in RNAcentral is "tRNA-Arg". It matches the Rfam family "tRNA". Rfam says of the family: Transfer RNA (tRNA) molecules are approximately 80 nucleotides in length. Their secondary structure includes four short double-helical elements and three loops (D, anti-codon, and T loops). RNAcentral also lists the same sequence under 2 other names. The record is from RNAcentral. Lineage: Bacteria; Candidatus Kaiseribacteriota.